GGGGGGGGGGGGGGGGGGGGGGAGGACGGGCGGGUCGAGGGGGAGCACCGGGGGGGCUGGCUGUUGCGGGGGGCGGGGGGCGGGCGGGUGAGGAAUACAUCGGAAUCUACUUUUUCGAGGGGGAUAACGUAGGGGAACUUACUCUGAUCACGCAUCCGGCCUACUGGUGAACGGAGGGGAUCUUCGGGCCUGGCCGUGUUGACUGAGGCGAUGUCGGAUUAGCUAGUUGGCGGGGUAAAGUCCCACCAAGGCGACGAUCCGUAGCGGGUCUUAGAGGAUGAUCAGCCACACUGGAACUGGGACACGGUCCAGACUCCUACGGGAGGCAGCAGUGGGGAAUAUUGGACAAAGGGCGCAAGCCUGAUCCAGCCAUACCGCGUGGGUGAAGAAGGCCUUCGGGUUGUAAAGCCCUUUUGUUGGGAAAGAAAAGCAGCAGGUUAAUACCCCGCUGUUCUGACGGUACCCAAAGAAUAAGCACCGGCUAACUUCGUG
This 492-nucleotide ribosomal RNA is filed under the name uncultured bacterium. Its description in RNAcentral is "partial 16S ribosomal RNA". It matches the Rfam family "Bacterial small subunit ribosomal RNA", at positions 26 to 507 of the family's 1533-position model. The record is from RNAcentral.